AAGUCGUAACAAGGUUUCCGUAGGUGAACCUGCGGAAGGAUCAUUAACACGUAUCCACGUUAUCAAACCAAUGAGAACCGUUUUCCCGUCUCCCUGCUGCAUGAAAUGAAUUGGUAACCAGUUUGAGGGGGUGAUGGGACCGAUAAGGUCGACCUUCCUGGCACACUGAUGUUUUAAUUCGUUUAUUCGGAUGGACAUCGACAAUUGUAUUUAUGUUCUGCAGGCUAAUUCUUUAUCGCUUUGAUCCCCUCACGAUCGUGGCGGUAGGGAAGCUCUUUAAACUACAUUUACCCCCCUUUUUGCUAGUUGACUUUUUAUAUGUGUUGUUUGUUCGAUUGCUUCAUUGCAACGGGGCUCUCAGCACACGUUUAUUAAUUGAACGUUAAAAAAUACAACUCUUAGCAAUGGAUAUCUUGGUUCUC
RNAcentral lists this unclassified non-coding RNA (422 nucleotides) under fungal sp. RNAcentral describes it as "partial internal transcribed spacer region". The stretch from base 1 to 46 matches the Rfam family "Eukaryotic small subunit ribosomal RNA", at positions 1786 to 1831 of the family's 1831-position model. Lineage: Eukaryota; Fungi. The record is from RNAcentral.